Molecule: ribosomal RNA, 130 nt
Filed under: Clostridioides difficile
Lineage: Bacteria; Bacillati; Bacillota; Clostridia; Peptostreptococcales; Peptostreptococcaceae
Description: partial 23S ribosomal RNA
Rfam family: Bacterial large subunit ribosomal RNA
Source: RNAcentral
GACUUCAAGAUAAGAUUUCCCACCGCAAGGGUAAGACCCCAGAAAGACUAUCUGGUUGAUAGGUCGAAGGUGUAAGUGCAGCAAUGUAUUUAGCUUAUCGAUACUAAUAGGUCGAGGACUUGACCAAAUU